GGAACAUCUUUGAGGUCCCAGGUCACAGCAACCACUUGAAAGGAUGGAUGAAUGGAUAUUUUCCAACAAAAAUCCAAUAUUAUCCAGAGGUGUUCCACCCCCUGCUUUGUCACAGGCCUACAAAGAGGGAGCAAUCACAUCCACAAUUGA
This is a long non-coding RNA of Oreochromis aureus, 150 nucleotides long. RefSeq lists it as uncharacterized. The transcript has 3 exons. Lineage: Eukaryota; Metazoa; Chordata; Actinopteri; Cichliformes; Cichlidae. The record is from RefSeq and is a predicted model, not a curated record.